UUAUAUGAUUUUUAUGUUUGCCAAGACAUUCUGAGUCUCAUGCCUACGUACUAAUAAAGCUGCAAUGGAGGAUCAAAACCUCGUAGUUCGUGGUAAAAAUAACAAAGAUGUUAGUUUUCAUGAAAAUGAAUUUUUAAUUUUAAGGAGAAUACUCAACUAGUCACCCACAAAUAUGAGAACUUUACAUCACCACGAAGAAGGGGUCCAACUAGGAUAAAUUUUAACAAGUAUGCGACUAGCUCUCUUCGAUGGAAAAGAAUUAUCAUCAAUACUAUGGGGAUAUUUGAG
This 288-nucleotide long non-coding RNA is filed under the name Lathyrus oleraceus (garden pea). RNAcentral describes it as "Pisum sativum (pea) long non-coding RNA (PSAT_LNC013448)". The record is from RNAcentral. Lineage: Eukaryota; Viridiplantae; Streptophyta; Magnoliopsida; Fabales; Fabaceae.